AGGACCCAGGAGACACCUUCCCAAACAGCAGGGGUUGUGUGCUUUCACACAGCAGUACUGUACAAGGAAAACCCCGUCGGAUCUGUUAUUGCGGGAUACUUGUGAAAUAUACAUAGGAUUCUUUCUUAUGGCUGCAUCCCGGAUCUGGAAAUUUUACUUGGGGACCAAGAGGAUCUGAAGGGCUACAUGUAUACAGAAGAUUUGCAAGCAAGACUCCGAUUCUUGUCAUAGAGCUUUCAGACUUCCUCACUUACCGACCUUUUUUCCUUCCUCCUUCUUUUUUUAAUUAAAUUUCUUCCCUCUUUUUCUGCUCUCUCCUCUCUCAGUGUCUCCUUUUCUAUCAGCCUCUUCUUUUUUCUCCUAGUCGUCUUUCCCCCCCUGCUCUGCACCUGGAUUGUAUCUUCACCAAACAAUCGGGCACUUUGAGAACUAACUGGAGGCAGUCUUGUAGGGAAGAGCUGUAUGGAAUUAUCUGCUUUUAUGGUGAACUUGGCAUUUGUGAAUGGGUAUCUUGUUCACGAUAUUAAUUGCUAGCAAAAGCAAGAAAAAGAACACAGGAGUAAAACGUGGAUUUUUCUGAAUACGCAUUGUGAUGACCAGCAAUUACCUUACCGACUGAUAUCCAGAGGAGAAUAAUUUGGAAGACUGUUGUGGGGAAUCCCAGCAAAGCAAGAAGGGGUGAAGUGACUGAGAAGGGCCAGUGCCAGUGGUAUGUGACUCCAGGAUCUACUGAAAGAAGUUUGCAGGUCCAUUUGUAGAUCUUGAUCUACACAUCAGAGACUCAAUAGCUAAUUUGACUCACUAAGAUAAAAGUUUUAUUUAUCUGAUUUUAACAGAUGCAAUAAAAUUAUUCAAAUUAAUCUUUA
Long non-coding RNA from Suricata suricatta (meerkat), 866 nucleotides. RefSeq lists it as uncharacterized. The record is from RefSeq and is a predicted model, not a curated record. The transcript has 2 exons. NCBI's taxonomy places the organism in Eukaryota, Metazoa, Chordata, Mammalia, Carnivora, Herpestidae.